CCUUGUACACACCGCCCGUCACACCGAUGGGAGUAGGUUGCACCAGAAGUAGUUAGACUAACCGUAAGGAGGUCGAUUACCACGGUGUGAUUUAUGACUGGGGUG
RNAcentral lists this ribosomal RNA (105 nucleotides) under uncultured bacterium. Its description in RNAcentral is "partial 16S ribosomal RNA". It matches the Rfam family "Bacterial small subunit ribosomal RNA", at positions 1379 to 1482 of the family's 1533-position model. The record is from RNAcentral.